RNAcentral lists this long non-coding RNA (529 nucleotides) under Homo sapiens (human). Its description in RNAcentral is "non-protein coding lnc-IL17RA-12:1". The record is from RNAcentral. Lineage: Eukaryota; Metazoa; Chordata; Mammalia; Primates; Hominidae.
ACCUGGAUGGGGGCCCACAGGGCCAGCGUGCAGCUGAGCCAGGACUGUGCCAGCACCUCGCAAGGAGCCUUGGAAUUCAGUGUGCGAGAGGCCACUGCAGUACUCACCUGUGACUCAGCAUGUCCCUGGAAAUCUGUCAGCCUGGAGGAGAGCAGGAGGGCAUGGGGACACCUCCUAGGGGCCCCAAGUUUGGAGGAUAUGCUGCCAGCAGAGUGUGAGGAGUGAGAGGCACCGCUGCCUGCCUACCUGCCACUGGAGGACCAGGCCCCUACAUCCCCGACAAGCCUGCUCACCGAGACUGAGUGGGGUAGCAGUGGCUACUAUGCCUUGGGCUGCUCUGGAGGGAUGCAACCCUUCAGCCCUCUCAGGAAGCACAUGGAGCCCUGAACCCAUCCCAGCCCUGCCCCAUGGCCUGUCACAUGACCACUGGGGCUUGGAGACCUAGCGAGGAGGUACCUGGGCGGUGAAUGGUCCAAGCUAGAGGCAUGGGCUGCACAGGGACAUCCAGGGCCCACAAUCCCCUCCUGUC